Molecule: ribosomal RNA, 389 nt
Filed under: uncultured bacterium
Lineage: Bacteria
Description: bacterial SSU rRNA
Rfam family: Bacterial small subunit ribosomal RNA
Source: RNAcentral
GACGAACGCUGGCGGCGUGCUUAACACAUGCAAGUCGAGCGGUAAGGCCCUUUCGGGGGUACACGAGCGGCGAACGGGUGAGUAACACGUGGGUGACCUGCCCUCAGCUCUGGGAUAAGCCUGGGAAACCGGGUCUAAUACUGGAUAUGACUCCAUGACGCAUGUUGUGGGUGAAAGCCUUGUGCGGCUGAGGAUGGGCCCGCGGCCUAUCAGCUUGUUGGUGGGGUGAUGGCCUACCAAGGCGACGACGGGUAGCCGGCCUGAGAGGGCGACCGGCCACACUGGGACUGAGACACGGCCCAGACUCCUACGGGAGGCAGCAGUGGGGAAUCUUGCGCAAUGGGCGAAAGCCUGACGCAGCGACGCCGCGUGAGGGAUGACGGCCUCGG